Molecule: small RNA, 513 nt
Filed under: Saccharum hybrid cultivar
Lineage: Eukaryota; Viridiplantae; Streptophyta; Magnoliopsida; Poales; Poaceae
Description: eukaryotic LSU rRNA
Rfam family: 5.8S ribosomal RNA (bases 91-244)
Source: RNAcentral
GCGCGGGUCGAGGCGGGAUAGACCAAAAUUCAUUUUUUUGCCCCGGUCGACUGCGUGCAGUGCCCGCGCAGUGAUGAUCCCUAAUGGACGAACUCUCGGCAACUGAUACGUAGGCUGCCGCAUCGUUGAAGAAAAUAGCAAAAUCGCAUCCCUGGCGCUUAAACAGAAUCGUUCGAACCAUCGAGUUUUCAACCCAAGUAGCGCCCGAGGCCUUCUGGCCGAGGGCACGUCUGCCUGGGCGUCACGCCAAAAGACACUCCCAACCCACCCGAGGGGGAGGGACGUGGUGUUUGGUCCCCCGUGCCGCAGGGCGCGGUGGCCCGAAGUUGGGGCUGCCGGCGAAUCGUGUCGGGCACAGCACGUGGUGGGCGACACUCAGUUGUUCUCGGUGCAGCGCCCCGGCACGCGGCCGGUGCAUCGGCCCUAAGGACCACAAGGAGCACCGCAGCGCGUAGCCGCUCGGACCGCGACCCCAGGUCCAGUCUGGGAGUACCCGCGAGUAUUUUUUCUUUU